This 253-nucleotide ribosomal RNA is filed under the name uncultured bacterium. RNAcentral's name for it is "partial 16S ribosomal RNA". It matches the Rfam family "Bacterial small subunit ribosomal RNA", at positions 524 to 776 of the family's 1533-position model. The record is from RNAcentral.
UCCGUAGGUGGCAAGCGUUGUCCGGAUUUACUGGGCGUAAAGAGCGCGCAGGCGGUCGUUCAAGUCGCGUGUGAAAGCCCCCGGCUCAACUGGGGAGGGUCACGCGAUACUGAUCGACUCGAAGGCAGGAGAGGGUAGUGGAAUUCCCGGUGUAGUGGUGAAAUGCGUAGAUAUCGGGAGGAACACCAGUGGCGAAGGCGACUACCUGGCCUGUUCUUGACGCUGAGGCGCGAAGGCUAGGGGAGCAAACGGG